This 249-nucleotide unclassified non-coding RNA is filed under the name fungal sp. RNAcentral's name for it is "partial internal transcribed spacer region". The stretch from base 1 to 46 matches the Rfam family "Eukaryotic small subunit ribosomal RNA", at positions 1786 to 1831 of the family's 1831-position model. Lineage: Eukaryota; Fungi. The record is from RNAcentral.
AAGUCGUAACAAGGUAACCGUAGGUGAACCUGCGGUUGGAUCAUUAAUAAAUUUUAGAGCAGAGUGAUUGAGAAAUCUUGAUCUCUGUUUCUUAACAAUUUGUGAAUCGUUUAUUGUCUCUUGUGGAUGAGUAGGCUCCAAAAGGGUCUUUCUCCACACUUAAAUCUUAACACUGUAAUAAAUAUUUGUCUUAAACUUUAAACUUAAAAAAUUUAAAAACAACUUUUGACAACGGAUCUCUAGGCUCUC